This is a long non-coding RNA of Rhododendron vialii, 547 nucleotides long. RefSeq lists it as uncharacterized. NCBI's taxonomy places the organism in Eukaryota, Viridiplantae, Streptophyta, Magnoliopsida, Ericales, Ericaceae. The transcript is spliced from 3 exons. The record is from RefSeq and is a predicted model, not a curated record.
UUGUCAAAUAUAGCGCGUGAUGUAUUAGCUGUGCCCGUGUCUACCGUUGCUUCUGAGUCGGCUUUUAGUACGGGUGGUCGCAUACUUGAUCCAUUUCGGAGUUCACUCUCACCGUCAAUGGUCGAGACUCUUGUAUGCAUCCAAAAUUGGCAUUUUAGCACGGUUCCAAUCUCUCUUCGACAGGCUAUGGAUAAAGUUGAAGAUCUUGAACGAGAACUCUUACAAACUGAUGAUGCUUCUUAGGGAUUGAUGGGGCUUUGGACCUUGGUUUGAACUUUGAACGGACAUGAGAAAUAUGGGGUUGGGAGCAGCAGCACUAUGGAGUAUUGGCUAAUUUAAAUUAUUAUGGACUUCUUUUAAUCAUUUUAGACUUGUUUUGGUGGUCGUCUGAACUUGUAAUAUGGUGGUGGAAAACUGAAAAUAUUUUGACUUGUUGAUUGGUUGUGUUUGUGUAUGGUUGCUGAAAAAACAGGGGAGUAGAGACUAGAGAGCUGGCUGCUCUCUGUAAUUUAUUUUUGUGUUUUUGCUGUGUGGUGGUGGUGGAAAC